UACGUAGGGUGCGAGCGUUGUCCGGAAUUAUUGGGCGUAAAGGGCUCGUAGGCGGUUGGUCACGUCUGCUGUGAAAACGCGAGGCUUAACUUCGCGCCUGCAGUGGGUACGGGCUGACUAGAGUGUGGUAGGGGAGGCUGGAAUUCCUGGUGUAGCGGUGGAAUGCGCAGAUAUCAGGAGGAACACCGAUGGCGAAGGCAGGUCUCUGGGCCACUACUGACGCUGAGGAGCGAAAGCAUGGGUAGCGAACAGGAUUAGA
RNAcentral lists this ribosomal RNA (259 nucleotides) under uncultured prokaryote. Its description in RNAcentral is "partial 16S ribosomal RNA". It matches the Rfam family "Bacterial small subunit ribosomal RNA", at positions 524 to 782 of the family's 1533-position model. The record is from RNAcentral.